GACAAUGUAAGUGAAUCAGCUGAUCACACCUAUGCUGAUAUUGAACUGAAACCUAAGAAAGAAAUGAAGAAAAAGAUGAAACACAAGAAAGACAAUGUAAGUGAAUCAGCUGAUCACAUCUAUGCUAAUAUUGAACUGAAACCUAAGAAAGAAAUGAAGAAAGACAAGAAAGGGAAUACCAGUGAAGGUGGGAAAAAUGUGUACUCUAAACUGAAGAAAGGAGGAGGUCAAGGUGUUGCUUUUGGAUCUGUUGAUGUGGCCUACUCUUAGAGGAGGAAAAGACGGCAAUACAGUAGCUAAUGCUUAAUAUUAUCAAUAUAAAGCUUUGUGUGCAUUAAAGUAAAUGCUUCCUAAACUUUGAUUUUCUAAUAGCAUAAAAGAGUUUACUUAUCAUGUGCAGCGCAGAUGCUCCUUCAAAAAUGAGACAAUGAUAUUAACCGAAUGCUCUUGGCAAAAAAACUGUAAGAAACUAUAGUAAGAAACUCUUUACUAUACUGAAACUACAGUUUCUGUUUUGUUUACA
Molecule: long non-coding RNA, 523 nt
Organism: Paramisgurnus dabryanus
Lineage: Eukaryota; Metazoa; Chordata; Actinopteri; Cypriniformes; Cobitidae
Source: RefSeq, a predicted model, not a curated record